GCUGGAAUGGCUCAGUUGGUUAGAGCGUGUGGCUGUUAACCACAAGGACGAAGGUUCGACCCCUUCUUCUAGCG
Molecule: transfer RNA, 74 nt
Filed under: Zostera marina
Lineage: Eukaryota; Viridiplantae; Streptophyta; Magnoliopsida; Alismatales; Zosteraceae
Rfam family: tRNA
About the family: Transfer RNA (tRNA) molecules are approximately 80 nucleotides in length. Their secondary structure includes four short double-helical elements and three loops (D, anti-codon, and T loops).
Source: Rfam by way of RNAcentral